CUCGAAGUGUUUCUGUAGAGGUGAAGACCUGCAGGAGCAGCGAGAGCUGCAACAGGAUCCUUCAAACAGGAACUAACUGUUACUUCCUGUUUCUGUUCGCUGAGAUUUUUUGGAGAUUUUUGCUGUGGGUGGGUUUGGGGCCUCCACUUCCCCAUCGUGGGUCAGUUGAGUCCUCGGUUGGCGCUGGUAGGUGUGGUUAGUUUUUUAUUUAUUGUUUGUUGGUGUCACAGGUGGGAUCAGCUUCUGUGUUUGAUAGAGGAACUGUAAAAAUACAAGUCCCCGCCUCUUGCGGCGCUGUUUAGUCAUUUGCACUCGGGUUCGAUUCCCCCUCUCUCUGUGCGCAAAAUUUGCUUGUUCAGGUGUGAACACAGUGAUACCACACAGGUAUAACCCAAAACACCCGCACCGAGUCGCACCAAAUGACCUCCAGAGCGGUUGGUUUACGGCGUGAACGCGAUCCAAGCUAGACGUUACCAGUCUGAGAAAAUGUGCCGUAGCCACGCAGGCUGUGGAACUGUAGGUGUGCACAGGGCGGUGUGGCUAGCAGCGAGCUGGGAGAUGAACCUAAAGGGGCGGUCCAAAUUCAUAGACCGAAUGCAGCAGACAAAUGUGUCCUUCAUUUCCCUUGAUUUGAAGGAUGGGUUGGGUGACUCCUUCGUUGCCUAACCUAUCCCAGCAUUCCAGUUUCCAACAAUGGCGGAAGCUACUAAGUUUUAAUAUUACUCUUAUUAUUCUUUCUGGGUCACAAAAUAAACUUUUAACAUAUUUUCAGGCGAAGAAUGUAGCUGUGUAAACUUCAAAUGUCUGCUCAGUUUAUCAAGAAAUCGCAUAUUUGCAAAAGUGCUCCGACUUUUUUCAGAGACGUCUGUUACCCACCAGCUCGAUAGCUAGCGGGGGGGUUCAAUGGUCACUCGAGCCGGCAAGAGCAGCGGACUCCCGAAUCAUCGUUUUCAGCCCCCCGCGGUCUUUGGCUACUCAGGUUAAACAUGAUAUAUAAGUCAGUUAGAUAACUUAAAAAUGUUGUUGUUUGGCUUUUUCAGUGUUUUAUUUGUUCCUGAGUAAAUCGGUUUGGCUGAGAUUAAAGUUAUAGUUUUUACACAGCUGAAUAAACAGACGUGUGAGACGGUCGAGAGUUUACUCCAGUGUCCUGUUAUAUUUUAGAUAGCAAGGAGCAGACGGCUGAGUUUAUUAAACUCCACCGAGACAGCGGUGACGCAGAUCUGAAGGCUAGACCGUCCCAUUUCACAGUCGCUCACUUCUGACCUUCUCGGUCUUCUGAGGACCCGGCCCACGUAGACCGCGAAGGCCGGGUCCUGAGGAGGACGCAGCCUAUGAAUUUGGACACCCCUAUUCCCAGUUUCCUCGCACACUUCCUGUAUUCACUGUUGUUGUUCCCACCCCAGACACAUCUGGCCAAUGAGCAGACUGAACUCUCCGAGCUUACAGACAAAACCAACUGCAGGCAGGAAGUGAUGCUGACCUCGCCCAAAUUGGGACUUGCAGCAAAGUCAAGUGAGCCAGUUCACCUGUGAGGGUGGAGGUCAGAGGCUGCGGUGCACCAGCAGGGUCACGACACUGACCUGUGAUGGCCUCACCAUCGCUCUUAUGUCUGUGACGGUGGAAACUCAAGAAGAACAAAGAGGCAUCCUGCAGUGCUGCAGUGGGAGGGCCUCAACAUGGGUGGGUUUCCUGUGGCUCCGACCUGCCAGAGCGAGCCGGGGUCUCACACAGGACAGGACUGUUCUACGAUGAAGAGUGAGGAUGAGGAUGUGUCUGAGUGUUUUGUAGACAUGUGCCUCUGCUCUGUUCCCUUUAGAGCUCCAUCAAUAAAGUUCAGUAAAGCCGCUCGACUCCCUUGUCUGUCUUUCAAAGUCACCUGGAGGUCGUUGCCUCCUGAUUGGUUUGUUCCAUCGAUGCCAGAGCAAUGGCUGCUUUAUCCUCUUCACAGAGACCUGACAUCAGGUAACACAGUCAAGGUGUAAACUGAUGUCAGCACGUUAAUCUCAUAUUUGAUACUCGCCUGCAAACCACCGACGCUGGACUGGUGUCCUGGUGGGAACCAGCUCCUGCCACUGCAGUGGGUCCACUGGUGUGGAGGUGUGGCCCAGGACACCUUAGCAGAGCUUCUAGCACGCGCGUUGUGAAGAUGACGAUAUAGCAGUGCCUGCAGGGGGCACUCCCCUCUCUGUAAGCAUGAGUGUGUGAUCUGAGCUUCCUGACGCAUUUGUGCUGCAGUCGCUGCUUUCAGGCCUCGCUGAGCUAAACUCAGAGGUUAUUGUUAGUCAGGUGACCGAUUAACCUCCGUGCUGCUAAACUCCCACAAUUCCUAGCUGUGGGGAAGGUGUGCUGAUUGGUGCGUCACCGUGCAAACGUGUUGGAGUUUAAAUCUGUACAUGUUUGAUGGCAGCCAGCUCAAAACCGACACCUCUGCCACUGUGGCACUACACUUCCCAUCCGCCUCUUGCUUCCUUCUGUCUCUGCUCCCGUCUUUGGUCCACAGCCUUUUGUUCAAAGCUCUCUCACCUGUCUGCUCCCACCUGCACGCCCCGCCCCUUGUUUCCUCCUCCUCCAUCAUUUUUGCCACUUCUUGUUUUCAUCUUUGCGUUGCCAUGGUUUCAGUUAUUUUACCUGUUGAUUUCGUUUUCCAUCCGUUCCCCCUGCCCCUCGCUGUGUCUUCUUCUGUGGUGUUUGUCUGUGCAGAGUCAGUUGUGUCUUCCUCUUCACAUCCUGGAGGAGCAAGGGCUCCCCCAGGUGGCCGUGACUGUCGGCGCUCUGCUCGACCUGGCCCCGCCCCGACACUCCAGCACCGCGGCGACCGCCACAACGUCAUCAAUCCCACCAGGACCGUCUGUCACCAUCUAGCCAUAUUUGCACCCCAUUGCACACGCGCAGUCAUCCUCCAGUCACCAGCCAAUCAGAGCUCAGCGUCUCUCAGCCCGCAUGAUGUCAUCAGAAAGUGUCCGAAGAGCCUGCAGGAGGGGGCUGGCACCGACAUGACGCCACAGUGACGGGUCUGAGCUCCUAUUGGUCAGUGCUGUAUGUAUGGAAGCCCAUUUUGGGGGGGCGCCGCCCAAUGACCUCGGCUGACAUGAAUUUAAAAAGGUAAAAGAUGAAUCGAAUAUUUUAGGUCAUGUCUGAAUGGGGGGAAAAAAAACAAAAAACAUUUCAUAUGUGAGACCUUCAGGCACUGCAGAGGUGCGGGUUCAAUUCCCCACGGCCACUUCCUGCCCGCUCUCUGCUGACUAAUAAAGGCUCAGUGCCCCCAAAAUACAAAGUAGAUUAAAACGUUCAGACAUUUGCAGCGAGUGUGUUUCCAUUUGUGGGCAGAAAUGGGCUUCCAUCCCACCUGUGCCGUCGCUCUGCAGGUGAGGGAGCAGCUGAUGGGCAGUGAUGGAGACGAGCCAAGCUGAACUGAUCUUUACUCUCGCUGCAAGGUUUGUUAGAAAUCAGCCUCUCACGGGUGGAGGUUUCGCUCUGGACCUGCUACACUCAUCACAUCUCACAGCGCCGCAGAGCAGACCAGAAAGGAAGGGACAAAUAAUGUGACCAGAUUUUAAUGCUGCACCUGGUGUAGGCAGAGCUAAUCUACUCCACCUGUGUGUGCUGAUUGUUACAAGUGAUAAUAAUGAGUGCCUUCACCAUGAAGCCACAUCUGCUUGUGUUUGAGCAGCGGUCCAAAGAAAAUCCUCCACGUGUGACAAGCCGAAAAAAUAAAAGCUUACCACCUUUGACCUUUGACCCCUGGGUCUGAGGUAAAGAGGGUAAGAUGAUCAUCUGAUGUAAGAACAAAGAAAAAUAACCCAGAGGCAAAGGGGGAGUUGGUUUAUUCUACCUGUCAGGUUCUCUUGUGAAUCCGUGCAGUUUAACAUCUGUGUGACGUUGGUUUUACAUGCAGUCGGUCACCUGUGUGGGUGGAGCUUAGAAACUAAUAUGCGUAAUUAUUGAGCCCGUGUUAAACACAGAAGACUCAAAACUAUAAAACUCUGUUAGGUGGAUCGUUCUGCUCAUUCCAACGUUGGCUCUCACAGAGCGGCUUAGCGUGAGUCGUGUCAUCCUGAGCCUCAGCUCAGCCGCUGUCUCACACAAGCCGGUUCAGCUCCUCCACCUUUAAACGUGCUUUAUUCUGAUUGGCUGCAUCUCACAAGCAGAAGACUUGAACAGUAGAUGGGUGGAGCUUCUCUCUGUGACAUCACACAGAUUAAGGAAUAGAAAAAAACUCAUAAUUCCCAGUAGCUGCAGACACACUGAAUUUCCUGUUUAACAUGAACAUUUGCCAUAGAAACAGGAAGUGAGAAAGGGAAAAGCACUUUAAUAAAAAAAAAAAAAAAAAGAUAAGUAUUUAAUGUUCUCAGUAACAGCUGAUUGAUCAAUAAAACCUGAAACUGUCCUGUCUCACACUGAGAUAAAGUUGCAAUGCUACUAAGGGCUAACGGAAGCUAACAGCAGUUUUGUUUUGUUGUUUAAAUGACACUAAUGUAUCUUGUGGCUAAUAUAGCUUAAAGUUAAUAUUGGCAAAGAUAAACUUAUUGUAAGCUACAGUUAAUGGCUAUCUGUGACCUGGCUAAGAUGAGUGUGCUUACUUUAAAAUGAUAAUAGAAAUAAAACUAUUCCCAGAUUACCCGUUGCUAACCGUGACGAUUCUGGAUUUGCUUCAGUCUGAAAAUGUAACUGACUGUUAAGGCUAACACUAUUAAAACAGAAUAAAUGUGUUCAAUCACGCCGAUCAUGCUAGUCAUGUUUGCAGGGAGAGAGGCGUAGCAGUCUGUUAACUAGCUGCUAGCUGGGAGACUAGCUUGAAAUAGGUAGCUAUAAAAGUAUCGUGAUGAGUUCAGAGUUAACAUGAACUACAGCUAGGAAGUGGCCUAAGCUAACGAGUAAGCAGUAAUCUAAAAUUGAAUAGGCUCUCUGCUAACUCUGCGUAAGACUAUAAUAAGACUAACUUUAUGAACUGUUAGAUUACAUUACUUAAUAUUAUAUCUGACACAGCUUGAAAGAUACUGACAUUUCAAAAGUGUUCCGAAACUAUUUUAACAUGGCUAACUGGUAAAGAAAGCUAACACUAAUGGUACUCUUAUGUCGAGCUAACCACAGAGGGUAGCUAAGAUAAAGUCAGGUGAAGCUAACAGCUUGUUUCUAAUCUGAAAACAGUCGACGAUGGCUUAGUUUAUAGCAUGAUUGCUAAAUGCUAAUGUUACAGUAUUGGGUUUGAGCAUGCCCAGUACUGAUAUUGUCAAAGUAAUUAUUUAUUUUUCCUUUUUGUUUUUUUUAAAGUUUAUUUAGUUUUAGUUUUAUUUAUUUUUUUUAUGCUUUUAGUUUUGCUUUAGGGGGCGGGGCCACUCUUCUGCCGCUCACCCACCUGUGAGCUACUUGCUCACAGUUAAUAAUAGCCCAAAAGAAGCAGCGAGGGCAAAGUGUGGUUCGGUUCGGCUCUGUUCGUCUCCAUCUUUCCUUAUUAUGGUGGACACUUUCAUCUUGCCGCUGAUGAAGAGGAGGAUGUCUGAACCCUGAACUCUGAAUGGCAGGAUGUCGUCUCUGUAUAGUUUUUACUAAUGUCACUGUGGUUUAGGUCAAUCAUGUGACCUGGCUUUGUGAUCACCUGAUCGGACCUUUGUCACAUGUACAGAUGAGGGUGAUCGGGUGGUUUCUGUUGCAUGCUGGGACGUUUUUCACCUUGUAAAGGUGGCCCGACUGUUGUGUACAAUUAUAUCCUGUAAAUAGAAACGUACUGAUGAUGCUCUGUAUAUGAGGCCGAAACCUGGGUGUUACUAUGACAACAGAGAUGUUCGUGUUGCCAUGGCAACCAUGGGGGGGUUCUUCUCCUGUCAGUGAAGUAAGCAAACCGCUGCUGUACUGUAAUUUUAUUUAUAAAAGUUUGUCCUGACAACAGUGAUCAAAGCGAUACCUGCUUAGCGUCUCACUCCAACUGGAGCUCCAAAAGGCUCCAACUGCACAAACACAGUCAGGAGGUGCAGUUCAGGUGAAGCAGACUGCUAGCAGCUAUAGCCGCCUGUGUCACCAUCCACCUUUCAGUCAGAAGCCACGCCCCUAAUAAUGCAAACAGGUGUCAUGAAUGGGCCGGACAGUUUGUGUAUCAGGCUGUAAACGUGUGUGGGGCUGACUCACUGCUGCCUCUGCUGGACAUUAGAGGAACUGCAGCACAGUGAGCCUGCCGUCCUACAGUGGGCAUGGCCUCUGUGUACAGUGAUGUCACGUAUCUGAGCUGCUGCUGCUUCACUGACCGGAGGAGAAGACUGUGUUUUUAAUUUAAACUGUAAAGAUGAGUAAAAGGGGCUGGUGCUGUGUUCAGGUGGCGUAGGACAUCAGCAUGCUGACACUACACUAAACACUUGCUGAAGUCUCAGCACGAGAGCACAACUUGAACAACCUGAAUUAUGACAAGCAGGCUGGGCCCCGCCCCUGAACCACCUCCACCAAUCAGCUCAUCUUCAGUGGACUCACCUGAGACCUGAGUGAACCUGAUGGGACAGGUGAGGCGGCUUAGAGGUUUCAGACAGGUGAUGAUGUACAAAUGUUUUCUUCUUCAGGCGCUCGUCUUGUGGCAGCAGCGGGUCACGUGACGGGCUGUCAGAUGGGCGGCUGUUUUUCCACUCGUGUGUUUUUGCUGUUUCAGUCAUAAAAUAAAUAUUAUAGUAUGGCUUUGAUGCUUUUAUUGUGUCAACACCACACACAGGAAGUGGUGAAAAACAUGUGGCCAAAAAACGAGAACGCCAUCAGCUGAUUGUGUUCAUACUGUAAAUGUUUCCUAUGUUUUCUGUUUUUCUCUCCUUGGUGGUUUUUUGUGUUUCUGUGAAUAAAGUAGAAAUAUUUGUCACA
Molecule: long non-coding RNA, 6834 nt
Organism: Oreochromis aureus
Lineage: Eukaryota; Metazoa; Chordata; Actinopteri; Cichliformes; Cichlidae
Source: Ensembl